GGCCUUUCUAUGGCGGGAGCAGCUGGUGGCUCUUUUACUGCUGUGCAGGCCGCGGCACUGACCGCGUCUGGCCCACCUGGAGAAGCCCAGGAUGCCUGGAUGAUGCCUAAAACACAACCCUUUCCCAGUGUCUGACCCAGAGACCAAGUCCUGAUCAAAAUUCGCCUUUGGAAGUGCUCUGUAGAACUCUGGUGGGAAAGGCCCCUAUUGAAUUGUUCUGACAAGUCAUGCUACAAAUCAAAGCCAGAGGAAAGGUCGUGUAGAUACUUGAGAGCCAAGCCCAAGGCUCUCCUUUUCCGGAUGUAUUGUCAGUAGGAAUUGGGUCACUUUAGGUAGAUUAUGUGGAAUCCUACCCUUUCUUUCCUUAACUGUUAAUGCUAUCAGCAUUUACCCUGGUCCUGUGGCUAAACUCCA
Molecule: long non-coding RNA, 414 nt
Filed under: Vombatus ursinus (common wombat)
Lineage: Eukaryota; Metazoa; Chordata; Mammalia; Diprotodontia; Vombatidae
Description: lncRNA (ENSVURG00010012106.1)
Source: RNAcentral